Molecule: long non-coding RNA, 1640 nt
Filed under: Equus caballus (horse)
Lineage: Eukaryota; Metazoa; Chordata; Mammalia; Perissodactyla; Equidae
Description: lncRNA (ENSECAG00000057684.1)
Source: RNAcentral
GUUUGUAGAAUGAACGAAGCUUUCUCCCACCUGCUUGGUCCAUAGGCAGCUCUGGCUCCCUCACACCUAUGGGCUGAGCCCCUCACUCAGGAGCAAUCCUUAAGACAAGGAAGAGACAAUAAUACCAACACCAACAAAAUGCUUACUAAUGCCAGCUGUGUAUUUGGUUCCAAGUGCUUUCCUUCUAUUAAUUCACUUAACUCUCACAACAACAGGAUUAUCCCCAUUUUACAGAUGGGAAAACUAAGGCACAGAGAGGUUUACUAACUUGCCCAAACACACAGCUUGGCAGUCCAGAGCUAGGAUGCAGCCCAGGAGUCAGCGCCAGAGACCACGCUGUUCACCACACUUCCCUCUUAAGGGGAGAGGAUGUCGGUGGAGCACCCAUGCCCCUCCAGCCCCGGCCUGCCCCCAGGUGCCUCCCGUGGGAUACUGGAAGGGGUCUUCCCAGGAGAGGCCAGGCCCAGACUCUCUCCCCAGCCGGCAGUCCUGGGCUGUGGCUCUUUCACUUCCUUCUUCAUUUUUCUGACGAGAACAGAUGCCGCCGCAGCUGACAAGCAGCCUGCCGGUGUGACAGGGAAGGCGGAUCCAGCCCUUGUUUGUCUGCCAGGAAUCUGCCCUCCUCUCACGUCCUGGAAACUGCUACUCACCUUGCAAGACUCAGAAAACAUUGCUUCCUCCAGGAAGUCCUCCGCGAUGGCCCUGCCAUCUCUUCCAGGAAGCCUUCCCUGAUUCUUCAAGAGUUGGCACCUUCGGCCUGAAUGCUGCGUUCAGAUGCUCCCCGCCCCCAGGAGGGUCAUUACUCCUUCCAUGUCCAGCUCCCCACCUGGCCGGGAGCAUCUUGAGAACAAGCAGAGCCCGAUUCCCCAGGGUCUCCAGCCCGGCACACAGCGAGCGCUCGGAAAAUGUUGGUUGACCCUGUGAUGCUAGGUUGGCUAGAAGGUGGUCAAUGUCUAUUCCCUGAGGCUUCCCCCAGCUUCAUUUAAGGAUGCAGCUCUGCCCUCUGUCUCCUGGCUCAUCUGUAAGGGUCAAGGUGCUUGGUCCAGAGCAGACUGUGUGCAGCUGCCCAGCCCUGGAGGAGCUCCACAGGCGCGUGCCCAGAGCAGGCACAGACCUCUGCUUGUGGCUGGGCUCUCCCUGCUCCUGUUUCCCCCAGGACAGCCACGUCCCCCAGGCCGGAGACCAAUCCCUGAGACCAGCCACGGCGACUCCCCCAUCCCUGCUAUCACCGCCAUCACCAUCACAGAGGCCUCCCUCAGAGGGGGUGGUGCAGAGGGAGGAGGGGGGAAGUGAGGUGGUGGAGGGGGAUAAAGGCCAAAGGAGGCAGAGGGAAGGGAGGGGAGGGGAGAAGAGAAGCGGGUUUGAUCGCCUGUUCCUCUCCGCCUGCAGCCUGAUGCUUCACCAGUUAAUUGCCGGCCAUUCGGGCCCCAGCCCCUCCUCAUUACCAUGAUUAGCAUUGAGCGAGCUGCGCAUUUUACGACUCUCCAAACCAAAAAAAUAAUUAAAGCAAUUACUGUCAUUAACACUCUGCCCUCUUCACCACCUUCGCUGAGAGUGAGCAGCGAACAGGCCCUGGGGCAUCGUGAUUGGACCCCGAGUGCCUUCUCUCCUCAUCUUGCACUCCCCCCCCCCCCCCCCCC